UUGGUGCUACGGGGGGCAGCAGUGGGGAAUAUUGGACAAUGGGGGAAACCCUGAUCCAGCGACGCCGCGUGAGUGAAGAAGUAUUUCGGUACGUAAAGCUCUAUCAGCAGGAAAGAAAAUGACGGUACCUGACUAAGAAGCCCCGGCUAACUACGUGCCAGCAGCCGCGGUAAUACGUAGGGGGCAAGCGUUAUCCGGAUUUACUGGGUGUAAAGGGAGCGUAGACGGCAGCGCAAGUCUGGAGUGAAAUGCCGGGGCCCAACGCCGGAACUGCAUUGGAAACUGUUUAACUAGAGUGUCGGAGA
Molecule: ribosomal RNA, 305 nt
Filed under: uncultured bacterium
Lineage: Bacteria
Description: bacterial SSU rRNA
Rfam family: Bacterial small subunit ribosomal RNA
Source: RNAcentral